AUGUUCCAGCAUCCGGUUCGUCGCCGCCUCGCCGCGGCGGCAUGGAACUGGAACCGAGCCACCGCCACCCGCCAUUUGGGGCCUGGCGGAGUCCGGCAGCUUGGAUGGACCAAGGCGGCGAGCGACGGCCACGCCGCGUCGGCGCAGGAGAAGGCGCAUUAUGUGCCGCCCCUUUUCAGCGCGAUGAGGGCAGAUUCGGCCAAAUACUCCACCACGCCGGAUCCGAAGGAGGAGCAUCCGGAGCCGGAGCUGGAGGAGACGCCGACCUUUUCGUGGGAGCUCCAGGGCUUGCUCAACGAGGACUUGUACAAGGACCAGAUGAAGAGAAUCCCAGCGACUUUCACCUCAAUCAGGGACUACACGAGGUCCUUCCUGGUGCCACUGAUGGAGGAGAGGCGCGCCGGCGUCCGCGCCGCGCUGGAAGGCAUCGGCCACGCGCCGGUGGCUAAGGUGGACUGGAUCGAGGAGUACCGUCCGCUCUCAGAUCGGUCACUGUUAGGGUACACUCUCUGGUCGUCAGCUGGUGAUGGUGACUGUUAUUUCCCCAAGGACGACGAUGUGGUGCUGUUGACGCACCGGGGCCGACGUGCACGUCGGUGCCGGAGCAGCCGUGCGCCAUAG
This 621-nucleotide ribosomal RNA is filed under the name Triticum aestivum (bread wheat). Its description in RNAcentral is "partial small subunit ribosomal RNA". Lineage: Eukaryota; Viridiplantae; Streptophyta; Magnoliopsida; Poales; Poaceae. The record is from RNAcentral.